CAAUGUUAUAACUUACAUAAUGUUAACGAUUUUAAUUUUUGUGUUAGCACAUACACUGUAUGUUCUGAUCAGAAAGUGCAAAAGGAAAUUUGCCUUUUUCCAUUGAUUAUUGUACAGAAAUACAUGUUAAUUUUAGCGUCGAAGAUAGUACCUGAUACAUCGAUUUUCAUUCUACACUUUUAAUUGUUUUGAAAAACUAAAUAUGUUAUUAUCCGAGGAAUAGAUUACCUUAGCGUAUUUGGCACAACUUUUUUGGAAUUUUGAAUCCUCAAUGCCCUUCAACUUCGUACUUGUUUGGGUUAUAAAUAUUUUGAAAUGAGUAUCACGGAUGGGUCUUAUGAAGACAAAACGCGCGUCUUGCGUACUUACUUAUAAUCAUGGUACCUUUGAUAACUAUAUACAUCAAUUUUCAUUCUACAAUCAUUGCAUUAACUAUGUUAUAUUGCGAUCUAUUCAACCUUCGUAUUUAAAGUACCCCGGGAAAUGUUUUGUUGGUUAGGCCAAGUGAACAACCUAGAGAGGACCCACACUAGCAGCUUAGAAUAAAUGUCUCUAUUCCUAGAACAGAUAUAGGUGCAUAGAUAUUUUUCCUCCCUCGCCUUUUGCCAAAC
RNAcentral lists this long non-coding RNA (611 nucleotides) under Mytilus galloprovincialis (Mediterranean mussel). Lineage: Eukaryota; Metazoa; Mollusca; Bivalvia; Mytilida; Mytilidae. The record is from RNAcentral.